AUGUUGUAACAAAUACAAUAAUUCAUCUCUUUCCUACAUUUUUAACUCACUAUCAAUCCAUUUCUAUAAUCCAAGAUGAGGAAAUCCGUUCAACUCUUAUCUACGUUCUUAAUCGUCUUCAUUAUUCUCUCCCUAGGAAUGAUGGCAGAUGCGAAAAAACAGUGUCCAUAUAAAAUUCCAAUUAGUAAAAAAUUGCCGUAUUGUGCUCCAGCACUCUGUUUGGCUGAUUGCAAGAAGCAACAUGGAGCUGAUGCUAGUGGUAGUUGUUCCGAAGAAAAGGGAUUUUGUAACUGCGUUGCUAAUUGCAAGGGUGCUCGCUAAUAUCCAACCAAAUUUUUAUACUAUCUUUUUACCAAUAAAUAUCUAAAUGUUAAAAUGUUUGUCUCAGAUUUGUGGAUCUAUUUAUAAUAAAUCUAUACUAUACUAAAAGCCACAUAUAGUGAGUAAUUAGGCUAUCCACCUCAUCAAAAAUAAUCAACCAAUCAUAACAUUUUAUUUUUGUUUUGGGUUUCAAUACAUCUGGGCUUAGGUGUGUGGGUUUAUUUGGUUUCAUUUGGGCUUUGUUUUUCAUUUACCUAAAUCUAGAAACCUAACAAUCUCAAUACGCGGAAGUUACGAAGCUCUUCUUCUCUACCACUUCGUCUUCUCUCUUAAUUUCACGAGGAGGAGGACACAGAGCCAUUGGCCGAAGACUUUCUCGAUGGUAGCGAUGAUGAAGAGGAACCUUUGGAUUCUGAUUCUGACUCUGAUGGAUCUGAUCUCGCAAUGACAGGAUCUGGUAAAAGUAAAGCUAUUGAUGAAGAACGUAAAAGGCAGGAGCAAGAUGCAAAAGAUGAACUACAUAUGAACAUAAAGGAACAACCUGACGAGUUUCGUCUACCAACCAAAAAGGAACUUGAAGAAGAGUCAAGUGGGCCACCAGAUCUUCCUAUCUUGCAAGUUGCAAACGAGUAUAAAAGAGAGUGAGAAAUUUUUUUUCAAGUUUUGUUUCUUUUAAAGAUUCUUUCUAAGGAACUAGCCUUUGUUUUAUUGCUUGAUAUUAUUUUUAUGUGUUCAGUUAAGGCUGAUAUUGGUUCUUAUUACGGCUAUAAUGAGUUUCUUAAUGGAAUUCUGGUUCAGGUUUUUCGCUAAUCGCUGACUUCACUUUUUAUGUACACUCUUUUGGUUCUUUUUGGUGUAAAGCUAUGUGUGAGCUAAUUUUGUAAAGCCACAUAUAGUGAGCAAUUAGGCUAUGUGUAAAGCUACUUCUCUAAUGUUUAUACAUCAUCAAACUGUACAUUGUAAUUGUAAUUGGAAAAAGAAAACAAACAAAAAUCAACCUAAGACUUUUAAGGUAUAUGAAACAAAAAUUGGAACUAACAAAUUUCUGCAAUCAAAGAAUAAGGCAAUAAAAUUGUAAAAAUACAAAAUAAAA
Long non-coding RNA from Brassica napus (rape), 1414 nucleotides. RefSeq lists it as uncharacterized. The record is from RefSeq and is a predicted model, not a curated record. The transcript is spliced from 3 exons. NCBI's taxonomy places the organism in Eukaryota, Viridiplantae, Streptophyta, Magnoliopsida, Brassicales, Brassicaceae.